CUUGACCGAGCCGAGCAGCAGCGGCGCCGAGUUGCCCCGGUCCUGCCCGUACGUGGCCAGCAGCGCCUGCGCCUC
Micromonospora echinofusca is the source of this 75-nucleotide non-coding RNA. It matches the Rfam family "ASpks TB sRNA". The record is from Rfam. Lineage: Bacteria; Bacillati; Actinomycetota; Actinomycetes; Micromonosporales; Micromonosporaceae.